GAGUGGCGGACGGGUGAGUAACGCGUGGGAACCUGCCCAGUGGUGGGGGAUAACUGCGGGAAACUGCAGCUAAUACCGCAUGAGCCAGGGGAAAGAUUUAUCGCCAUUGGAGGGGCCCGCGUUCGAUUAGGUAGUUGGUGGGGUAAUGGCCCACCAAGCCGACGAUCGAUAGCUGGUCUGAGAGGAUGAUCAGCCACACUGGGACUGAGAUACGGCCCAGACUCCUACGGGAGGCAGCAGUGGGGAAUAUUGGACAAUGGGGGCAACCCUGAUCCAGCAAUGCCGCGUGAGUGAUGAAGGCCUUCGGGUUGUAAAGCUCUUUUGCCAGGGACGAUGAUGACGGUACCUGGAGAAUAAGCCCCGGCUAACUUCGUGCCAGCAGCCGCGGUAAUACGAAGGGGGCAAGCGUUGUUCGGAAUUACUGGGCGUAAAGGGCGCGUAGGCGGCCGAUCAAGUCAGGCGUGAAAUUCCCGGGCUCAACCUGGGGGCUGCGCUUGAUACUGGUUGGCUUGAAUGCGGGAGAGGAUAGUGGAAUUCCCAGUGUAGAGGUGAAAUUCGUAGAUAUUGGGAAGAACACCGGUGGCGAAGGCGGCUAUCUGGCCCGUAAU
This 608-nucleotide ribosomal RNA is filed under the name uncultured bacterium. RNAcentral describes it as "bacterial SSU rRNA". It matches the Rfam family "Bacterial small subunit ribosomal RNA", at positions 93 to 740 of the family's 1533-position model. The record is from RNAcentral.